This 442-nucleotide ribosomal RNA is filed under the name uncultured bacterium. RNAcentral describes it as "bacterial SSU rRNA". It matches the Rfam family "Bacterial small subunit ribosomal RNA", at positions 15 to 507 of the family's 1533-position model. The record is from RNAcentral.
GAUCCUGGCUCAGAACGAACGCUGGCGGCAGGCUUAACACAUGCAAGUCGAGCGCCCGCAAGGGGAGCGGCAGACGGGUGAGUAACGCGUGGGAAUCUACCUAUCACUACGGAACAACUCCGGGAAACUGGAGCUAAUACCGUAUACGUCCGAGAGGAGAAAGAUUUAUCGGUGAUAGAUGAGCCCGCGUUGGAUUAGCUAGUUGGUGGGGUAAUGGCCUACCAAGGCGACGAUCCAUAGCUGGUCUGAGAGGAUGAUCAGCCACACUGGGACUGAGACACGGCCCAGACUCCUACGGGAGGCAGCAGUGGGAAUAUUGGACAAUGGGCGAAAGCCUGAUCCAGCCAUGCCGCGUGAGUGAUGAAGGCCUUAGGGUUGUAAAGCUCUUUCACCGGUGAAGAUAAUGACGGUAACCGGAGAAGAAGCCCCGGCUAACUUCGUG